CGACAGCAAUAUGAAGGUCAGGCUGAAGACCUUACCCGAUUAGCUGAGAGGUGGUGCAUGGCCGUCGUCAGUUCGUACUGUGAAGCCAUCCUGUUAAGUCAGGCAACGAGCGAGACCCACGUCCACAGUUGCCAGCAUACCCUCCGGGGUGAUGGGUACACUGUGGAGACCGCCGCUGCUAAAGCGGAGGAAGGAGUGGGCAACGGUAGGUCAGUAUGCCCCGAAUCUCCCGGGCUACACGCGGGCUACAAUGGUUGGUACAAUGGGCAUCUACCCCGAAAGGGGAAGGAAAUCUCUUAAAGCCAAUCGUAGUUCGGAUUGAGGGCUGCAACUCGCCCUCAUGAAGCUGGAAUCCGUAGUAAUCGCGUUUCAACAGAACGCGGUGAAUACGUCCCUGCUCCUU
This 403-nucleotide ribosomal RNA is filed under the name uncultured Methanosaeta sp. RNAcentral's name for it is "bacterial SSU rRNA". It matches the Rfam family "Archaeal small subunit ribosomal RNA", at positions 937 to 1338 of the family's 1478-position model. The record is from RNAcentral. Lineage: Archaea; Methanobacteriati; Methanobacteriota; Methanomicrobia; Methanotrichales; Methanotrichaceae.